This 440-nucleotide ribosomal RNA is filed under the name Shigella sonnei. RNAcentral's name for it is "bacterial SSU rRNA". It matches the Rfam family "Bacterial small subunit ribosomal RNA", at positions 292 to 724 of the family's 1533-position model. The record is from RNAcentral. Lineage: Bacteria; Pseudomonadati; Pseudomonadota; Gammaproteobacteria; Enterobacterales; Enterobacteriaceae.
CUGAGAGGAUGACCAGCCACACUGGAACUGAGACACGGUCCAGACUCCUACGGGAGGCAGCAGUGGGGAAUAUUGCACAAUGGGCGCAAGCCUGAUGCAGCCAUGCCGCGUGUAUGAAGAAGGCCUUCGGGUUGUAAAGUACUUUCAGCGGGGAGGAAGGGAGUAAAGUUAAUACCUUUGCUCAUUGACGUUACCCGCAGAAGAAGCACCGGCUAACUCCGUGCCAGCAGCCGCGGUAAUACGGAGGGUGCAAGCGUUAAUCGGAAUUACUGGGCGUAAAGCGCACGCAGGCGGUUUGUUAAGUCAGAUGUGAAAUCCCCGGGCUCAACCUGGGAACUGCAUCUGAUACUGGCAAGCUUGAGUCUCGUAGAGGGGGGUAGAAUUCCAGGUGUAGCGGUGAAAUGCGUAGAGAUCUGGAGGAAUAUCGGUGGCGAAGGCGG